This is a long non-coding RNA of Salvia splendens (bonfire salvia), 679 nucleotides long. RefSeq lists it as uncharacterized. The transcript is spliced from 2 exons. Lineage: Eukaryota; Viridiplantae; Streptophyta; Magnoliopsida; Lamiales; Lamiaceae. The record is from RefSeq and is a predicted model, not a curated record.
UCAAGACGAGACGGUCGACGAAAUCACAUCACAUCAAGCACGCUUAUCAAACGACGGCUCACAUUUUCCAAACGAUAGUCGUACUUGAUAUCUGUCAUUUUAGGUGACAAGAUGUAAUAUUCUUGCCAUUUAUGGUAUAAUGAAUGAUUAAGGUGCCAACUUGCCUCAUUUGGCAAAAAGUCCAUAACAUUUGGACAAUGCAUUCUCUCCAUGAAUCAAGUUUUUGACCAUAUUCUUCCAAACACUUAUUUCCCCUAUAAAUACUACACCAUUUCAAUCUUUACUCUUUUGUUCCACCACAAAAAAAUCUCCAAAACUAAUUUAUCUUAAGUGAUGAUUCUCAAAUGAGUGCUUGAAGAAGAGGAAUCAAUUCUCUACACACUUGCUUUCUUUUUCUCCUUGAGGUUCCUCAAGGUUGAGCAGUGAUGAAAUGGUGGCUGAGUGGAGUUGGUGGUCGUCUCAUCUCUUUUGUAGGAUUUUCGUGGCAUAUGUCUUCACACAUAUGGCCAUGUGUUUACAACUCCUUCCGUUGUGCACUAUUGUAGUAUUUUGUAUUAGAUGGAUCAUAAGGAAAAUGAUUAGCAGCGAGUGACCUGUGAUAAAUACUCUUUUGAUCUUCAUGAUCUUUCGUUGCCUUGUGAACCUCCUUUAUCUUAUUAAAAAGUAUUUGAGUGUCUUA